Molecule: ribosomal RNA, 279 nt
Filed under: uncultured bacterium
Lineage: Bacteria
Description: partial 16S ribosomal RNA
Rfam family: Bacterial small subunit ribosomal RNA
Source: RNAcentral
UGCCAGCAGCCGCGGUAACACGGGGGGCGCAAGCGUUAUUCGGAAUUAUUGGGCGUAAAGGGCGCGUAGGCGGCGCAUCGAGUUAGGCGUGAAAUCCCCGGGCUUAACCUGGGAACUGCAUUCGAUACUGCAGAACUAGAGUAUGGUAGAGGGAAGUGGAAUUUCCGGUGUAGCGGUGAAAUGCGUAGAUAUCGGAAGGAACACCAGUGGCGAAGGCGACUUCCUGGGCCAAUACUGACGCUGAGGUGCGAAAGCGUGGGGAGCAAACAGGAUUAGAUA